AGUCUGUGAUGAAGAUUUAUCUGUGCCGGAGGCGAGUGAUAUGUUUUGCUCGUCGAUGACGGCGCAAUUCCUCUAAGAAGUUCUGAGCUC
Glycine soja is the source of this 90-nucleotide non-coding RNA. NCBI's taxonomy places the organism in Eukaryota, Viridiplantae, Streptophyta, Magnoliopsida, Fabales, Fabaceae. The record is from Rfam.